GUGCUCACUUCAGCAGCACAUAUACUAAAAUUGGAACAAAACAGAGAAGACUAGCAUGGUCUCUGCGCAAGGAUGACACCUAAAUUCAUGAAGGCUUCCAUAUUUAA
Molecule: small nuclear RNA, 107 nt
Organism: Fukomys damarensis (Damara mole-rat)
Lineage: Eukaryota; Metazoa; Chordata; Mammalia; Rodentia; Bathyergidae
Source: Ensembl